Molecule: ribosomal RNA, 372 nt
Filed under: uncultured organism
Description: bacterial SSU rRNA
Rfam family: Bacterial small subunit ribosomal RNA
Source: RNAcentral
CAGAGGGUGCGAGCGUUGUCCGGAAUCACUGGGCGUAAAGGGCGCGUAGGUGGCGAUCCAAGUCCAUGGUGAAAGCUCGAUGCUCAACAUCGAGUCGGCCACGGAUACUGGGUUGCUUGAGCACUGUAGGGGCAGAUGGAAUUCCGGGUGUAGCGGUGGAAUGCGUAGAGAUCCGGAAGAACACCGGUGGCGAAGGCGGUCUGCUGGGCAGUUGCUGACACUGAGGCGCGACAGCGUGGGGAGCAAACAGGAUUAGAUACCCUGGUAGUCCACGCCGUAAACGAUGGGCACUAGAUGCUUGGGGGAGCGACCCCCUGAGUGUCGUCGCUAACGCAGUAAGUGCCCCGCCUGGGGAGUACGGCCGCAAGGCUG